RNAcentral lists this unclassified non-coding RNA (253 nucleotides) under uncultured Sphingomonadaceae bacterium. RNAcentral describes it as "contains 16S-23S intergenic spacer region". It matches the Rfam family "Bacterial small subunit ribosomal RNA", at positions 524 to 776 of the family's 1533-position model. The record is from RNAcentral. Lineage: Bacteria; Pseudomonadati; Pseudomonadota; Alphaproteobacteria; Sphingomonadales; Sphingomonadaceae.
UACGGAGGGAGCUAGCGUUGUUCGGAAUUACUGGGCGUAAAGCGCGCGUAGGCGGUCUUGUAAGUUAGAGGUGAAAGCCCGGGGCUCAACCCCGGAACUGCCUUUAAGACUGCAAGACUAGAAUCCGGGAGAGGUAAGCGGAAUUCCGAGUGUAGAGGUGAAAUUCGUAGAUAUUCGGAAGAACACCAGUGGCGAAGGCGGCUUACUGGACCGGCAUUGACGCUGAGGCGCGAAAGCGUGGGGAGCAAACAGG